CAAUAGCGUAUAUUAAAGCUGUUGCGGUUAAAAAGCUCGUAGUUGGAUUUCUGUCAAGGACAACUGGUCCGCACCUCGGGUGAGCACAUAGUUUGGUCUUGGCAUCUUGUUGGAAACUGUUGCUGCACUUGGUUGUGUGGCGCAGUGUCCAGCACUUUCACUUUGAGGAAAUUGGAGUGUUUCAAGCAGGCACAUGCCUUUGGACACAGUAGCAUGGAAUAAUUAGAUUGGGCUUUUGCUCCAACUUGUCGGUUUCUGGAGCUGAGGUGAGAAUUAAUGGGGAUUGUUGGGGGCAUCCGAAUUUAGCCGUCAGAGGUGAAAUUCUUGGAUCUGCUAAAGACGGACAACUGCGAAAGCGUUUGCCCAGGAUGUUUUCAUUGA
This 381-nucleotide ribosomal RNA is filed under the name uncultured eukaryote. RNAcentral's name for it is "partial 18S ribosomal RNA". It matches the Rfam family "Eukaryotic small subunit ribosomal RNA", at positions 592 to 976 of the family's 1831-position model. The record is from RNAcentral.